Molecule: ribosomal RNA, 7926 nt
Filed under: Triticum aestivum (bread wheat)
Lineage: Eukaryota; Viridiplantae; Streptophyta; Magnoliopsida; Poales; Poaceae
Description: partial small subunit ribosomal RNA
Source: RNAcentral
UACCUAGCCGGUUCGAGCUAACCCGCCGCCUGUACCGCGGUUCAUCAUCAUUGUAGAUAGAUAGGCUUGCUUUGAAGGGCCGGAGUAUACAUGUCGGCACGGUGAACCCGUACAGUUAACGGUCGUGUCAUGUACGCGUACCUGCUGUCGGCGCCGGCUGUUCCUUCUUAACUGGCGGGUUAAAAGAGCUGGCCCGUUUUCUGCGUUCCAGUAUAGGGAGCUCUAUUAUGGCAGGUAGCAGGAGCAGCGCGCUUCUUUACACUGUUUGGUGCAGCAAGAGUGGUGUGGUUAAGCGUAUAUAUGCCCUGCCCUUGCCCUGCCCUGCCCACACGUGGCAACGAAAGGUGGCCCGGCAGCUGCAGCGGGCAAAGUUAAACGGACGGGCCGGCACACGGGCACAUCUGUCCGUUGGUUGUGCCCCGACGUUAGUACGUACGUAGCCAAGUACGCAUACCUAUGAGCAAGGUGUUUUUCCUAAAACGUAAAUCCAAGAGACUGGUAAGGCCGGCAAGGCUGCUGAUCAACAUUUGAGCAUUACCGAUGAACCACACACUAGUACUCCUCGUCCUUUCAAGGAUCUUUACAGGAGCCGGGGAAAAAGCCCUCAUUAGGUCGUAGCGGUAGAGUCGUUCAACAGUCUUGCCGUUAAGAUACUAUGCUACGAUACUCUGUAAUACUGGGUCUGAUCGGGGAGACUAAGAUGCUAAGACUACUCAUCUUAGAUCCAAAGGUGAUAUCAACACUAGGAUAAUAACUUCGAGGCUAGGCUAAGAUUUAGUACCAAAACUGAUGCGCACUGGAACGCGUACGGCUACCGUACGAUUACAACGGCGGCGAUCCCAAGACGUAGCGGCUACCUGCUCUUUCAUUGUAGAUACGUCAGUAGGUUGUUCACUGCUGCUGCAGUUGCAACCCAGUUAGUGUGAUCUGUAAACGGACUCAGUUACCUUAUUGGUUUAACCGCGGUAACGCGGCUUCGUGGUGGCCGGGUUGCCUUGUGUACCAGUUUGAAGAGCACGUAGGUAUCUACUUUUCCUUUUAGAUGGAUGGACUAGAGCAGUCACCCAAGUUGCCACGUUUGUGCCGGCUACCGCUUCUUACCCACCCUUCACUGGUAUAACUCGUGGUGGUGGUUGUGCAGCUUUCCUGGUUUCACUACGCUUUACUUCCGGAUGGACAGACGGGAGUGAACGGUGACCUAGAUAGCUGCGUGCGUGGUAGUUUCGGUUCCCUCGGUAAUAAUUUGUGGAGGUACUGGUGAGAGCUUUCCCGGUUUCGUUACUUGUUUACUUCUAGAUGGGUUACGCGGUUCUACCCCAUUUCAUUUUCGUCGGUGGUCAUUUAGUACCGGAGAACAUGUUGAGUCGCUGGCUCAGCUUCUGCACGGCCACCUCGUACCCACUCACACUCUACUGGUCUUAUAAACGUAGUUCGGUUUUGUUCUAUCAGCCUUAGCAGCCUAAACCUCGGGGCUACCAUCCUAACGUUUAGUACAUUAGAAAUGACUACGUUAGCACGUUUACCUCUAAUGUGAUUCGUCUUAACAUCUUGGCUUCAUCAGCCAAACUUAGUAUCUCAGCAUUUUAUUACGUUAUUUUAAGACUAAGUUUGAUGAAGUUGGGGCUCGGUUUUAAUUUAACUAUCCACUAAUUAAUUCGUUGAGAUCAUAUAAGAGUUAUAUAGCCACUACCCUCGUUGGAAUAACAACAAUGAAAAUCCUGUGGGAAUUAACCGCUUGCAAACAGUCCCUCCCACCAUAAACGCUUGCUAACGGACCUCAGCAUCAACACUCACUCACCCCUCUCAACCGUCAGAGUUGUUCGCUGUACUAUCAAGAAGGGCUCUUCCGUUAAAAACAAAGUUUGAUGGCAGCAAACUAGAGCAAAAUAUUGAUCUUGACGGUCGUUUCUACCAAGCGAACUGUCGGGGAUUGUCGCUUGCAAGCGAGCCAUGUUAAUGGUAUCAAAACUACAAUGUAGAAAACACCUCUCAGUGAGUUUCUGUACACAAUCACGUGAUAGAAUAUGAGAUUUACCACACUCACUAGGUUCUUGGUUAGGGGUCCGCUGUUUCGGUUGUAGAUCUACUCAACUCUUACUAACUUUGCUCCUUCUUCUCAAGUUCUCCGUCGAACAUUUAAAUUUUUCGUGAGGGGAUCAGUGUGUUUAACUAAAAAAAAUAAGUCGGGCAUUUUUCCAUACGUCACUUUUGUUGGAAAAACAUCCCGUUUCAAACAAUUAUCUAUCCGUUGACGUUAAAAGUUUUGUCUCACGUCAGCGCCUCCUGAGAGUUUUGAACCAACGCAAAGGAGGAAAUAGAUGCAGAAUAGAGAAGGCAGCGGCUCAAACAAGGAUAUUAAUGCAGCCGAUGAGCUCGAAAGGAUUUGAUUAGUCGGCGAAGGUUGAGUUUGAGCGGCGGCCUGCCGCGGGAGGCCUUCUCAGUUGCGGUGCAUAUAUUGGGCUCCCCUUGCCGGAGACUGACGGGCCGGCCUUCUGAGGCAACCAAAAAGCGGGACAACGACGGCGCCGGCCAUCGGACGCACGCACAGGCCGCUAGCAGGGAAUUAGAAUAGGGGCGGCGGCGGCGGCGGCUGCCCCCGGUACGUCGACGUGCGCGCGGCCGCCGUGCGGCACCGCGCCACGGCGGACGACUAGCGCCGGCGCCGGCAGCGGUACAGCGAGCGACGCCAGGAGACGGAGUCGGCGCAGCUGGGGCGGCCGGACGAGCGGCGCGGGCGCGCGCGCGAGGUCGAGCACGGCGGAGCGGCCGACGUGCAGGCGGAGCCGCGGCAGUUUCCCUGGUGGCGCUGGCGGUGCGGGCGUCGGCCUGCCUUCAGCGCCGGCGGCGGCAACCUCUGGCUCCGGCACGACGACGGCCUGACCCUCCACGAGCAGGACGAGGCGGGGCCGCGGGUUCUGCUGCGACCUCCCUUGCGCUGCACGCGGAAGCCGGCGCCCCGCAGCAGGGGACGCGCGCGCGAGCCCUUCGACGGCCGCAGGCCCGCGGCGCGCAUGGAGACGCAGCACGGGCACGGCCGCGCGUCGGUCUCCGCCGAGGCGCGCGGCGCCGAGCACUAGAGGAGGAGCAGCAGCAGCUUCUAAUCAUGGCGGUGGUCAGUACCGUUUAGCGGGCUCUAAGACUCCACCUCGCCGGCCGACCACAUGCUCAGGCGCCACCAGGUGCCGCCGCUGCACGAGCAGAAGCGGUUCCCUCAGUUGGGCGCCGUUCCGCACUUGGCCCGCCGGAGACUACAGGCCACGCACAUGAUGGCGGCGCGCCCACGGCCGCGGCCACUGCGGCAGCACCGGAGCGAGGGGCGCCGGUGGAGCCGCGUCGUCCAGAAGGCCACGGGCGGAGGCGGGUGCUGGCGGCGUAGGGUCCUCGAGGCGCAGUGCGAGCGGCAGCGGCCGCUCCUAGGGGAGGGCAGAGACCGGCACAUGUGGGGCGGCGCGAGACCUAGCAGUUGCUGCGGCCGCGGCCUCUUCUUCGACUAUACGCGGACGUGGUACCAGGCGCUGCACCGGUUCAAGGACGGCCUCACCCACCACAUGGUGCGCCGGCACCCGCACCUGGCCAAGAUGGAGAUGCUGUUGCCCUCGCUCCUACUGGACCUCCUGGUCCAGGUGGUCGAGUUGAGUCGGCCCAUGUUGUAGAGGUGGCACUGUACCGGCACCCGGUUCCGGGUCCUCCGGCCCAAGAGGGUGUCGCGACGCCACGAAGCUCUAAGCACGCUCACCCACCGUAAAUAGCUGCAGCUGCUCAAGUAGAAGAGGGGUUCUACCUUGGUUUGCCUCUGGGGCUGGCUUAGGUACGAGGCCAGCCAACAUAGUAGUCGGCUUGGUCUGUAACCAGCCCACAGUUACUCCACGCGGCUAAAGCCUGGGAGCCCGGUCUGGAGGUUGGGCUUCCUUCCCCAGUGGGUUCCUAUGUGCACGGCCUCCGCUCAGCUCCUCGCCGUGUUCAGCAACGAGGCCGAGCUGCGCCGCCUGCUGAGCGACGAGUUGAGGUAGGUAGUGAAGUGCGAGGCGGGGCCCAAGGCCCAGCUCACCUCGUUCGCCCAGGCACAGUUGGUGAUGUUCAUGGUUCGAACCCUCCUCAAGUUCCAGUUCAAGUCCGCGGCCCACAGCUGCAUGCACCGGCUGACCUGGCUGGGCCACUUGGAAGUCAGGUUCCUGGCCUGGGGGCCGGAGCCAAAGCUCCGGCAGCUUGGCCAGCCAACCUGCGUGUUCAAAACGCUCCACUUACUAUGAGACGAGGUGCUGUGCUGGGCCUCUACCAAGCCGCAACCCAAGCCCUUGUUAGAGUGAUCACAUCCUGUGUCGUCGUCGAGUAGCAUCGACUACGUAACGUCACAUGUUUGGUUCUUCUAAUCCUAUGUUGUUUGUGACUAAGAAAGUUCUGUAUUAACAUAUUUGUAACAAUGCAAUCCUUCAUAUCCUCUCCCAGGGAAAGAACAUGUUUUCCAACGAACUAAAACUUGUAUAUAUCAUAUAAGACAACUACCUAUACACGAACGAACGGUACUAGACCCGUUCCGUCCAUGAAGAAAAAGAAAAAAGAGGUCGUCCAACGAACCCACCCGUCAAAUAUUGUCGAUUACCAGUAUCCAACGAGGUUGUUCGUUAACAGUCUCUGUUUUUGUUUUCCAACGAGGUGGUUCGUUGACACAAUUGUCGUAUAUAAUAAGAUAUGUUCUAUGUUUCACACAGGACCAAAAGUAGCGUAGUGCUGAAGAAAACAGAGAAAAGAACCGUUCUAACACCACUGAUAUAUAUACUACACAUUAAAACAUCCACUUUAAAUCGAUGAAUCUCUCACGUAGGAAUUGAAAGGCGGUUUCCUGUUAAGAGGCUAUUAAGUCUUAAGAUAAGGUUUUCCUUUGACGAAAAGUUUCCCGUAACUCUACGUUUCCUCUCGGAAAGUUCUCUAGUAAGCUAGGGUUUAACACGUAUAACCACACAUUGAACUUCAUGUGUUUUUCUUGUUUGUUCAACACGAAGCCCUGGCGGGUAAACGACGAAUUUUCCCAACUUGUACACGGUCCGUAACGAGCCUCAAACGAGUCUGAACUAGAAGUCCCACUUUUAGGUACUAGACUGGAAACCCAUAACCUAGGCCACUGCCGAAGUGAACACACAACUAAAGAAAGGCCUCCGUAGUGAAAACUUCUUGGAGAGAGCAUCAAAAAUACAACAGUACUCUAUCAACCUCGGCUACAAACAAAAACAUGUAGUCACUAGUGAUAAAAAUAACGAAACCCUACAAAAAGGAAAAAGAAAGGUGGAUCCGUAUCGAAGCCAGAUCAUACUGAACCGAGAAACGGUCGUUCUAGCACACACACACACACGCGCGCGCGUGCACGCACACGCACCCGUACACGUACGCACACGCACACUCACACAGCGAGUAAUAUUAACAUAGGUAACUACGAUAUAAUACUCAGUUAUUUUUAUGGGAAAUAUUUUUUUGAAUACGUUUGUGAUUUAAUGAAAAUAGAUUACGUCGAAGGUGUUGCAGGUUGAUACCACAUAGUCCAUUUACACGUAGGAUCAACGGUACGUUGAGUGAUCACAGUUACUCGCGAUGUAGUGGUACUGUUCACCCAGGUAGUACAGUCUUACUGCGUCUACAUCAGAUCUCUCUACUUAACAAACGUAUUAGAUCAAUUUUCACCGUGUCCUUUGAACAACCAUACGCCGUUAUAUAUAGAACGAUUUUGCCCUUAAAGUUUUGUGUUUUAUUGUAACACUUUAAGUGGUAGUGUUAUAAAAGUGUUAAAAGGAAAAAUACUUUGAAGUCAUGUUAUAAGUAUGCGCUUAUUUCUCGUACGCGCAAUUAACCACCAGAAUCAUCACCACGUUACACUAAUUGAAUAAAGCAUCUACACCGUGUGGACAGAAACAGGUGAUUCAAUAUGGUUCGAGUACAGAGUUUUUUUUUCAAUAUGGUUCGAGACUCGGCUAGCGCUCUUCUUAGACACGACAAAACACUACCCUCACUUUCAUAGAGAGAGUUACUUCGUUUCAGUAAUGAUCUAUCUUUUCAUGGCGUGUUAGUGAAACAAUUAGGUCACUCUCACACCACUUACGUGCGUACUUGUGUACGUACACGCACACGCAGACCAGUCGUGUUCCGUUCGGAUGCACGUUUUCGUCUUAGACGGGUAAUAAAAUAUCGCAGCAUAUUGGUGGCUUUGUACAUACAACCGGUUCUAUUUAUUGGAUUUUUAUGUUUCGGCAUUCAUUUGCGAAAGAGUGGUUAUAUUCUAGUUGCAUCAUAUUUCGUUACUACUUACGUUAUUACUUUGUUUAAGCUAGAUAGUUAGUAAUCUCGUUUAUUUUGAUUCGUAUAGAGGAGGGUAGGAAGAGAUAACGAGAGGAACCUCCUUUUCAGUGUGUUGGUCCUCUUAAGAAAUCACAGAAUGGGCGUUUUUUUAUUUUUAAGAAAUCACAGAUCACUAAACAAAUAAUCAUAUAGACUAACACACGACCUUGACCAUCAAUUCAUCUAUUCAAAUCCCAACCUUCUACUACUAAACCCCGAUCUCGACCGCUCCAGCAACGGUCGCGGCUGGCAAAACCUCAGUUUCCGCACGUACGUACAGGAGCAUAACGGCCCGAUCGAGAGUGGAUGGCCGUGCGUGUAUUUUGCAAGAGUAAUUCUCAUUGUUGCUAUAUUCAUCAGACGAUCAUUUCGUAUGAGUGAGACAUUACUAGAUUUGCGAGAAUAUAAAUAAAUGCUUUUCUCAUAAGGUAAUACGUAAGUACGAAUCGAACUAAUCAUGAGGGAGGCAUUUCUUUAUAUUUUCGUAUAUCUAGUGAUAAAAUCACUAGAUUUGCUACAAUAUAAACAAAUGUCUCCCUCAUCAUGGAUAAUUCGCAUUGGUAUAAUACAUACAUACCUAAUAACAAACAUAAACGUUAUACCUUGUAUAUAUUACGAUAGCACCCUUCUUCCCGCACUUUCCAUAUAUACGACUAUGGAGCGGACACGCGCACCCGUGACGUGCUACCUGGUGCAAAACAAGGGACCUGCAAAACUACGCGGUUCAAAUAAGUCCAGUAAGACCUAGUACACCGUGCGCGAGAAAAUGAAAAGCCCACUGACGGUGUGUCUAGAGGUUCGUAGGGACCUCUUCUGACCACGGUGGCGGAGGUGCUUGGACGUGCGUGCGUAACACACAGAAUUUAAAAAAAAAUCUUUUGAAAAGUUAGAUAAGUAGUAGUUAGUACUAUCAUGUUGCUUAUUGUCUUUAUUAUUUUCAAUGUAAGUCUAGGCAUCUGGUGGAUCGUUGCUGAUGUUUGUGACUUCACUCAGCUUUCGCGCGGCAGCAGUAGCAGAGAGGGAAGGACUUCGGCCCGUUUUGAACAACACAAUCUAUCAGCUUUUCAGCAGCACGAUUUCGGGCUAUCCUGGUUGCGUGGUCUUGUAGUUGGCGGCGGCAACUUCUCUUCAAAUCUAGCCUUCCUAGGUUAGACAUCUAUUUGCUUGUUUUUCGCCUAGGUACACCUAGGUCGCUUCUGUUUGCAACUGGCUUAGGGCACUUUAGGCGGACUGAACUGCUGAAACAUCGCCGCACAUGGACACUAGAGUUUCUUCUCCCUUACUGUAUUGUCGUUCCUCUUUUCACUAACGACUACGGAAACUCAGUGUAUAUCUCGCAUACCCGUGUUCACCUGAGGGGACUAACUUUAACGUGAACCUACCUCCUCCACCCCCCGGAUCCUAGCGGUGGCACGCUUAGUUCUUAUUCCCAAUGGGUAGAAGACUAGGUGAAGUAACCACCGUCGGAGCAACUACCACAUCUCCUCCCCGCCCCCAACGCCAAGAGAGGCUGCCAAACUAACAGACCAGCGAUGAGAAUUACCUAAAUACCUAGAUCAGCACAAAAGCACAAUACAUCUGCCAGAGGUUUCCACAGAAAAG